UACAGAGGUCCCAAGCGUUGUUCGGAUUCACUGGGCGUAAAGGGAGCGUAGGUGGUCUUAUAAGUCAGUGGUGAAAUCUUCUCGCUUAACGGGAAAACUGCCAUUGAUACUGUAGGACUUGAGUAUAGUUGCUGUGGGCGGAAUAUGACAUGUAGUGGUGAAAUACUUAGAGAUGUCAUAGAACACCGAUUGCGAAGGCAGCUCACAAAACUAUAACUGACACUGAGGCUCGAAAGUGCGGGGAUCAAACAGG
This 253-nucleotide ribosomal RNA is filed under the name uncultured bacterium. Its description in RNAcentral is "partial 16S ribosomal RNA". It matches the Rfam family "Bacterial small subunit ribosomal RNA", at positions 524 to 776 of the family's 1533-position model. The record is from RNAcentral.